UGUGCGUGUCCAGGUGGCAUGGAGGAGCACAGGGCUUUGCCUGUGACAUACAGUCCUGUCCCACAGCGUCAAGCCGGGCCUUGAGUCUGCGCCUGCGUAUUCCUACAGCUUCUCAGCGUCCUGUGAACAGUGACUGAGGAGACAAACCACACAGGAAACAAAC
This 163-nucleotide small nucleolar RNA is filed under the name Echinops telfairi (small Madagascar hedgehog). RNAcentral's name for it is "Small nucleolar RNA SNORA73 family (ENSETEG00000023222.1)". It matches the Rfam family "Small nucleolar RNA SNORA73 family", at positions 31 to 219 of the family's 219-position model. Rfam says of the family: U17 (SNORA73A and SNORA73B) also known as E1 belongs to the H/ACA class of small nucleolar RNAs (snoRNAs). The record is from RNAcentral. Lineage: Eukaryota; Metazoa; Chordata; Mammalia; Afrosoricida; Tenrecidae.